Sorex fumeus (smoky shrew) is the source of this 508-nucleotide long non-coding RNA. RefSeq lists it as uncharacterized. The transcript has 3 exons. The record is from RefSeq and is a predicted model, not a curated record. Lineage: Eukaryota; Metazoa; Chordata; Mammalia; Eulipotyphla; Soricidae.
ACCGCAUGAAUUUUCUUGUCCCGCGGAUCCAAGAUGGCGACGUAUCCACCGCGGAGGCUGCUGGGAGCAGGACCUUUACCCUCUGACCCCGGCCGUGACCCCCGUCGUUCCGACUUCCCUCAAGGCGGCGGCGGAAGUUGCAUGGUGGCGGUGAAAACUGCUCUUCCCGGUUCAGGUCAUUGAACACUGCUUCACUGUUACUGCAGGAGAAUUCAGGACUUUAUUAAGGCCUGAAGAUGACCUCAUUAUAACCAUCUCCAUUCACAAGUUUUGAAUACUGUAAAGAGUGAUAAAAUUGAAAUCACUUCGCCAAAGGAUCUAAUAAGAUUUUGUUGCCUUGAAUAAAGUCUUUUACUUUGAAAUGAAAAAGACAUUUUCAUAGUAAAUAUGUGAUGUGUGAUUAUUAGUAGAAAAUAAACGUUCUUGAAAGUACUUUAGUAAAUUUCUUUAGUAAAAAUUUAAGGGAUCAGAAGGAUUCAAACCAUUUAGCUUGACUCUAAAUUGGUGC